This is a long non-coding RNA of Frieseomelitta varia, 1714 nucleotides long. RefSeq lists it as uncharacterized. NCBI's taxonomy places the organism in Eukaryota, Metazoa, Arthropoda, Insecta, Hymenoptera, Apidae. The record is from RefSeq and is a predicted model, not a curated record. The transcript is spliced from 2 exons.
CGCUCAGCUGUCUUGGCCUCUCUGUCGUCCGUCCGACGCGACCGAUCGACGGGCACACGCACGACGCGCAACGCGCGACGGCGAGUGCUUCAAGGGACGUCGUCGUGCGCGUCUGUGUCGUCGAUUUCAAAGUCAUCGGUUCGAGCAUGCACGCGCCAUGUCAUCAAACCGUUGGUUGAAAGUCGCGAUCGGUGAUCGUAACGAUCGCGGCGACGACGCGUGAUCGUCGUCGGACGAGGUCGGCGUGUCGCGUGAAAUUAACGUCGCGCUACUCGGUAGCGUGUAGCAUCUCCCGCGCCCGGCAGUCUCGUUGUUGGCCGCGUGUGUUUCGCGUUUUCUUCGACGCGUUUUGUCUAUGCCGUUCCUUUCCCCCGCGUCACGGCGUGUUCGCGCCUGAAACUGGACUGGGGACUGGAAGUGUUUACGCGGCGGACGUACUGUGACUGCGAUCGAAGGACCCUGCACGUGCAACGACGAUCUGCCACGGUGCUACAUCGAGGAAGAAACUUCGGGGCCGCUUCGUCUUCCUCGAACCUUCGAGACGACGGUCCGUUGCGACACAAGCUGCGUGGGAUUCUUCCACCGUGAGGGGAAAAAUCAAAGAAAUAUUCUCGGCGGUGAAUCAGCCAGGGAAGAGGCUGUCUCUAGGAAGAGGUAUAUAUAUACGGGAUUUCUCGGAGCAGGAAAAUUUUGAUUAUGUUCCACCUUUGAGGCGGAACGAAAAGUCGAGCCACGAAAAAGCACUUGCUCCGUGGGAGAGGGAGGGGCGGGGAGGAAAGAAAGUUCUUGCCUCCGGUCGACGUGCAAACUUUUCCCCGGCAACGUGAGUAGACACGUAACGUGUACCAACCCGAAGGAGAGGAGAUCCUUUUUCGGUAUAUUCGAAAGAGGGAUGGCGUGAAACCUCGGCGAACAGCCGACCGAACAGCGUUCUUCGUUCCCUUCGUCUUCUCUCGGACCAUUUGCGAGAUUCGCUCGGACCCUGGCUCGAUUCACACUGCCGGGAGAAAGGAUACGAGCAGCAACGAUGGAUGUUCCGUUCGACGUUGGACGCGAGGAUACUUUGCCCAGACGAUGUAGAGAUAUCUAAAUGCUUUCGCGACUCUUUCGUCCUUCGAUACUCUUCUUGGGACGUUAAACCGUACCGUUGAUCGUUCGACUUACGUAUAUACGAUACAUUCGAGAUUCGACAGUUGGUUGGUUGUACCCGAUAAAUGUGUGUCACUCCGGUAAAAGUGUUGGAGUUUUCGUGAGUUUUCGCGAAGCGAUCCUGCGUCGAUUCGUUCAUCGUAGACUGUCGGGGGAAAAAACUCACCGGGGAAUCUCGGAAUCUCGGUGCUGUUACCUCGCCCGUGCGUUUUUUCGUGGGAACGCCACGGGAUUUCGACGGGCAGGGCGAAAGAAGAAUCUCCCCCCUGCGAGAAGGUUCGUUUCCGUGGAUUGGUGGCUCCCAGCUCUGUAGCAAGAAAGCGCUUAAAAGCUUGAUUAAUUGCGCUCGGAGGCAGCUCGGUGACCGGUGCACGCCAACCAUGCAUCGGCCGGGUUGCGCCGCUCGCUCGAGAAAUAGCGGGGAGAACGUCGUUUCCUGCGAGAGAGCCGAUCCUCCGCUACGCCACCCUGCCCAACCGAUAAGAUAUCGAGGACGUUGGCACUGCUAGAGAAGACGCUGGAGGAGGCGGAGGAGGAGGAGGAGGAAGAAGAAGAAGAAGAAGAA